AGCAGCAGUGGGGAUAUUGCACAAUGGGCGCAAGCCUGAUGCAGCCAUGCCGCGUGUGUGAAGAAGGCCUUCGGGUUGUAAAGCACUUUCAGUCAGGAGGAAAGGUUAGUAGUUAAUACCUGCUAGCUGUGACGUUACUGACAGAAGAAGCACCGGCUAACUCCGUGCCAGCAGCCGCGGUAAUACGGAGGGUGCGAGCGUUAAUCGGAAUUACUGGGCGUAAAGCGUACGCAGGCGGUUUGUUAAGCGAGAUGUGAAAGCCCCGGGCUCAACCUGGGAACUGCAUUUCGAACUGGCAAACUAGAGUGUGAUAGAGGGUGGUAGAAUUUCAGGUGUAGCGGUGAAAUGCGUAGAGAUCUGAAGGAAUACCGAUGGCGAAGGCAGCCACCUGGGUCAACACUGACGCUCAUGUACGAAAGCGUGGGGAGCAAACGGGAUUAGAUACCCCGGUAGUCCACGCCGUAAACGAUGUCUACUAGAAGCUCGGAGCCUCGGUUCUGUUUUUCAAAGCUAACGCAUUAAGUAGACCGCCUGGGGAGUACGGCCGCAAGGUUAAAACUCAAAUGAAUUGACGGGGCCCCCCA
Molecule: ribosomal RNA, 584 nt
Filed under: Pseudoalteromonas sp.
Lineage: Bacteria; Pseudomonadati; Pseudomonadota; Gammaproteobacteria; Alteromonadales; Pseudoalteromonadaceae
Description: bacterial SSU rRNA
Rfam family: Bacterial small subunit ribosomal RNA
Source: RNAcentral